Manihot esculenta (cassava) is the source of this 764-nucleotide long non-coding RNA. RefSeq lists it as uncharacterized. The transcript has 3 exons. NCBI's taxonomy places the organism in Eukaryota, Viridiplantae, Streptophyta, Magnoliopsida, Malpighiales, Euphorbiaceae. The record is from RefSeq and is a predicted model, not a curated record.
CUAAGCAGCUUCCUUCAGUGCGUAGCCACGUAAGCCGCCAAUUUAUUGUUUUGAAACAGAUUUCUUCUCUUCCUGGAUUCUCAAGUAAUGAUCAUCAAGUGGGAACACGAAUUUCUGAAUUUCCCAUGUGUAUUGAUCUUGAUCCCAUGGAAGCUUGGAUUCUUCAUAGCCUGGUAAACUCUCCUUAUCCUGUUCUAUCUUGAAUUUCAUUUUUCAUCCCCGUUUCCAGAGUUUGCGAUGUGAUGAAAAUGGGAGACAACAAGAUACAGGCGGAAGAAAGUAGCCGAUUGUGAUUUUAGCUAUGCAUUUCUUUUGUAUGUGGUGUCGCCUGCCAUUAAACCAGAUUAAAGAAAAAGUUGAGUGGUAUGCUCGAAGAAGCUUCCCGCAGGGCGUUGCCGCGUAGGCCAAUGAAAGCAGCCUGCUCUUCUUGGGUUCUCAAGUCAUCAAGUGUAAACGUUUCAGCAAUAAUUUGAAGGUGAUGAAGAUGGGAGACGGAAGUAUAUAUGAAGAUGGAAGAAACUAGCCGCCCUCUUGUUCUAAACACAUCUGAUGGAGAUUUCGGGUAUGCGUUUCUUGCAUAUGUGAUGUGGCCUGACAGUAAAAAACCAGAUGAAUAUAUCAUGAGAGUAGUGCAGUUGACUCUACUGCUGUUGUUAUUAUCCCUUUGUUUUCCCUUGUAGUGCUUUGUUUUAUUGAUCUACUCAUGAAACAGCUAUGUGGGUGGCUUGCCAUUAUAUUUUAUUGAAGUUUCUAUGGUUGUCUCA